Molecule: transfer RNA, 72 nt
Filed under: Elusimicrobia bacterium RIFOXYB2_FULL_48_7
Lineage: Bacteria; Pseudomonadati; Elusimicrobiota
Description: tRNA-Thr
Rfam family: tRNA
About the family: Transfer RNA (tRNA) molecules are approximately 80 nucleotides in length.
Source: RNAcentral
GCCGGGUUAGCUCAGUGGUAGAGCAACGGUUUCGUAAACCGUAGGCCGUGGGUUCGAUCCCCAUUCCCGGCU